Molecule: ribosomal RNA, 333 nt
Filed under: uncultured Actinomycetes bacterium
Lineage: Bacteria; Bacillati; Actinomycetota; Actinomycetes
Description: bacterial SSU rRNA
Rfam family: Bacterial small subunit ribosomal RNA
Source: RNAcentral
UGGGCGUAAAGAGCUCGUAGGUGGUUGGUCACGUCUGCUGUGGAAACGCAACGCUUAACGUUGCGCGUGCAGUGGGUACGGGCUGACUAGAGUGCAGUAGGGGAGUCUGGAAUUCCUGGUGUAGCGGUGAAAUGCGCAGAUAUCAGGAGGAACACCGGUGGCGAAGGCGGGACUCUGGGCUGUAACUGACACUGAGGAGCGAAAGCAUGGGGAGCGAACAGGAUUAGAUACCCUGGUAGUCCAUGCCGUAAACGUUGGGCACUAGGUGUGGGGGGCAUUCCACGUUCUCCGCGCCGGAUCUAACGCAUUAAGUGCCCCGCCUGGGGAGUACGG